Molecule: ribosomal RNA, 451 nt
Filed under: uncultured bacterium
Lineage: Bacteria
Description: bacterial SSU rRNA
Rfam family: Bacterial small subunit ribosomal RNA
Source: RNAcentral
AACGAACGCUGGCGGCAUGCCUAACACAUGCAAGUCGAACGAGACCUUCGGGUCUAGUGGCGCACGGGUGCGUAACGCGUGGGAAUCUGCCCUUGGGUUCGGAAUAACAGCGAGAAAUUGCUGCUAAUACCGGAUGAUGACGUAAGUCCAAAGAUUUAUCGCCCAAGGAUGAGCCCGCGUAGGAUUAGCUAGUUGGUGAGGUAAAGGCUCACCAAGGCGACGAUCCUUAGCUGGUCUGAGAGGAUGAUCAGCCACACUGGGACUGAGACACGGCCCAGACUCCUACGGGAGGCAGCAGUGGGGAAUAUUGGACAAUGGGGCGAAAGCCUGAUCCAGCAAUGCCGCGUGAGUGAUGAAGGCCUUAGGGUUGUAAAGCUCUUUUACCCGGGAUGAUAAUGACAGUACCGGGAGAAUAAGCUCCGGCUAACUCCGUGCCAGCAGCCGCGGUAAU